Non-coding RNA from Mycena polygramma, 97 nucleotides. The record is from the annotation of a GenBank genome assembly. Lineage: Eukaryota; Fungi; Basidiomycota; Agaricomycetes; Agaricales; Mycenaceae.
GGCUUGAUGGUGUAGUGGUAACACAUCCUCUCAACUUUAAUAAUUGGUAAGUAAGAAGUUUCUGAGGAGAUGUCUUGUUCGAAUCAAGGCCAAGCCA